ACGGUAGAGGGGGCAACCCCUUGAGAGUGGCGAACGGGUGAGUAAUGUAUCGGAACGUGCCCAGUCGUGGGGGAUAACGUAGUGAAAAUUACGCUAAUACCGCAUACGAUCUAUGGAUGAAAGCGGGGGAUCGCAAGACCUCGCGCGAUUGGAGCGGCCGAUAUCAGAUUAGGUAGUUGGUGGGGUAAAGGCUCACCAAGCCAACGAUCUGUAGCUGGUCUGAGAGGACGACCAGCCACACUGGAACUGAGACACGGUCCAGACUCCUACGGGAGGCAGCAGUGGGGAAUUUUGGACAAUGGACGCAAGUCUGAUCCAGCCAUUCCGCGUGCAGGACGAAGGCCUUCGGGUUGUAAACUGCUUUUGUACGGAACGAAAAAGCUCUUAUUAAUACUAGGAGUCCAUGACGGUACCGUAAGAAUAAGCACCGGCUAACUACGUGCCAGCAGCCGCGGUAAUACGUAGGGUGCAAGCGUUAAUCGGAAUUACUGGGCGUAAAGCGUGCGCAGGCGGUUAUAUAAGACAGAUGUGAAAUCCCCGAGCUUAACUUGGGAACUGCAUUUGUGACUGUAUAGCUAGAGUACGGCAGAGGGGGAUGGAAUUCCGCGUGUAGCAGUGAAAUGCGUAGAUAUGCGGAGGAACACCGAUGGCGAAGGCAAUCCCCUGGGCCUGUACUGACGCUCAUGCACGAAAGCGUGGGGAGCAAACAGGAUUAGAUACCCUGGUAGUCCACGCCCUAAACGAUGUCAACUGGUUGUUGGGUCUUCACUGACUCAGUAACGAAGCUAACGCGUGAAGUUGACCGCCUGGGGAGUACGGCCG
Molecule: ribosomal RNA, 822 nt
Filed under: uncultured bacterium
Lineage: Bacteria
Description: bacterial SSU rRNA
Rfam family: Bacterial small subunit ribosomal RNA
Source: RNAcentral